This 73-nucleotide transfer RNA is filed under the name Spirochaetes bacterium GWB1_27_13. RNAcentral describes it as "tRNA-Thr". It matches the Rfam family "tRNA". From Rfam's summary of the family: Transfer RNA (tRNA) molecules are approximately 80 nucleotides in length. Lineage: Bacteria; Pseudomonadati; Spirochaetota. The record is from RNAcentral. RNAcentral also lists the same sequence under 2 other names.
GCCUUCAUAGCUCAGUUGGUAGAGCACAUCCUUGGUAAGGAUGAGGUCAUCAGUUCAAUUCUGAUUGAAGGCU